UGGAUUUGAUCAGAGCAG
Molecule: small nuclear RNA, 18 nt
Filed under: Arabidopsis thaliana (thale cress)
Lineage: Eukaryota; Viridiplantae; Streptophyta; Magnoliopsida; Brassicales; Brassicaceae
Description: snRNA_12192
Source: RNAcentral